This is a long non-coding RNA of Quercus robur (English oak), 652 nucleotides long. RefSeq lists it as uncharacterized. The record is from RefSeq and is a predicted model, not a curated record. The transcript is spliced from 2 exons. Lineage: Eukaryota; Viridiplantae; Streptophyta; Magnoliopsida; Fagales; Fagaceae.
CCAUCCCUCUAUUUAAUUACCUAGCUAUUCUUCUAAAACUAUCCAUUCUCAUCCUCACUAUACCUCUAAUAACCUUGAGCUUCUGCUCCCUUCAUCUUAUAAUAUCAGUAGAGAAAACAUGUCCUCAACCGCCUUCAAAGUGUUGGCAAUGACUAUUAUUUUAGCAUUGGUGUUGCUCGUGUCCACUGGUGCAAUAACUUAUGAUGCAACACCAACUUUCAAACUCGGACGAAGACUUUUUGAUGAAUAUCCGCCUGGAUAUCCAACUUCUGGAGGUGGAGGCUACCAGCCCCCAACGUAACGCACCCAUAAUUGCUGAGAGAGGAUAGAAGAGUAUCAUCAGCUGAUUCCUAAACAAUUGGAGGCAAAAGAUCUAUGUUACCUACUAUUAUUGUCUAUUUCUUUUAAUAAUUGAUAAUUCUAUGUUAUCUACUAUUUGAAGACAAGUCAUCAGAUAUUGUAUAUGCAUGCUAAUGCUAUUCUAUGUUUGAUGCCUAAAUUAAAUAAGAUAUCAUUAGGGUCUCUGAUCAUAGUGUGCAAAAAAUAUGUUUGAAUAAGAUGUACUCAUACGUAAGGACUGUGGCACUGUAUUUACUUGAAUAUUAAAGUGAAUCAAUAAAAAGUUAAAUAAGAUGUGAAAUUUUACGAUUAA